Molecule: ribosomal RNA, 377 nt
Filed under: Shigella flexneri
Lineage: Bacteria; Pseudomonadati; Pseudomonadota; Gammaproteobacteria; Enterobacterales; Enterobacteriaceae
Description: bacterial SSU rRNA
Rfam family: Bacterial small subunit ribosomal RNA
Source: RNAcentral
GAAGGUGGGGAUGACGUCAAGUCAUCAUGGCCCUUACGACCAGGGCUACACACGUGCUACAAUGGCGCAUACAAAGAGAAGCGACCUCGCGAGAGCAAGCGGACCUCAUAAAGUGCGUCGUAGUCCGGAUUGGAGUCUGCAACUCGACUCCAUGAAGUCGGAAUCGCUAGUAAUCGUGGAUCAGAAUGCCACGGUGAAUACGUUCCCGGGCCUUGUACACACCGCCCGUCACACCAUGGGAGUGGGUUGCAAAAGAAGUAGGUAGCUUAACCUUCGGGAGGGCGCUUACCACUUUGUGAUUCAUGACUGGGGUGAAGUCGUAACAAGGUAACCGUAGGGGAACCUGCGGUUGGAUCACCUCCUUACCUUAAAGAAGC